GAUAGUUGUCGCUCUGACGUCACUUCGGUUUCCUGGAACAGAGACCGGGGGAGGGGGGGGGGGGGGAGGAGGAGGAGGGAGUGCAAAUCGGUCGAGUGAGACGCACACGCUGACGUCAGCGCAGAGCGAGUCACCCUGUUAUCUCAACGGCAGAAAGGGAGGGGUGUGUGUGUGUGUGUGUGUGUGUGUGUGUGUGUGUGUGUGUGUGUGUGUGUGUGUGUGUGUGUGUGUGUGUGUGUGUGUGUGUGUGUGUGCACUUGCAGUUGUUAGUUUGUGGGGCCAUGUAACAGGGAGAACACCAAUCUUGUGGGGCCCAGCAACCUUGUGGGGCCCAAAAUGAGGGACCCCACUAGAAUGAUCAUCAUAUAUGGGCUCACAAGCCUCCCCUGACAUGCCUGUCGCUUUUUUAGCACAUGUCUCACAAAGUCAGAAAGUAUGGAAAAGUGUGUGUGAUGUGUGUGUGGAUUUUUUACUCACUAGUGCCCCAAGUGUUGGAAAGGUGGUAUAACAUCACACACACACACUUCCUGGUGUGUGUAAGGGUUCAGCCAAUGAGGGGCCACUAUGAAAUCUCGCGAGAUUUUUCGUGAAGUCAUUAGCGAUAUCUCAUGUCUCAGCAUACCAAAGCCAUGCAGUGUUGGCUGCUCAACUGGGAACUUUGCAGAGAAUAAGGUGACAAACUAUGAGGCCCCUGCUGUGGCUAUAGAGACAGAAGACACCCUUUCAAAUCUGUCUUCCCAUGAGGAAUCCAAUGGAGAGGAAGCCAUAGCCCAGGUAAACAAACUGCUAUCAAAAGAACCUGGACACCCGAGGAAGCGGCAGCGGUGAACCGGCAUCUACGGAGAUGCAUUACCAUGAACAGUGUUCCAGGCAAAGAGGAGUGUCAACAGUGCAUUAAUGCAGACCCUGAAGCUCUCCGAAUGCGAGACUGGAAGGCAUAUAGAAUCACUACUUUGAGACGAAAGUAUAAGUGUGAACUUGCUGAUGCACCGUCAUAUUGACAGUGUUAACAGUCUCUUCUUGUGAGGCCUCUUUGUAGGCAAUGAUAAAGUUAAUCUUGUCCCAGUGACUUUUAUUUCUGAACACUGAACAAUUGUCCAAUGAGUAACUGAAACUAUUCCGCGCCCCCACAAUCAAACGCCCGCAUGGGGAGAUUUUAGCUUUUACUUUACUAAGUUAAUAAAGACAAGAGAACAUAUUAUGUGUUAAGGAGUUUAUUUUAUGCAAUGUCGUUUGAGAAAUGGUACUAGGAAAGCGUUGAGUAGUGUUGAGCUGGAGUUCAUUAUAUUAAUGAAAUUUAAUGCCCCAUAUACCUUAUGAUGAUCUUUGGUUACAAUGACAUCGAGCCCUACAAUGUCUUUGAUAAGCAACAAAAAAUAUGUAAACAUGUUAUUUCCAUCAGAAGACAUUGUGUCUUGCGAAGAUACAAAGUCUAGAAAUGGUUGUCUUGCUAAGAUAUUAAAACUAGGAUUGUGUAUGUGUGUGUGAAAGAGGGACUCGCAAGUUUUGAAUGUUAGAAACAGAACCCCACAAAGUGACAAAAAAACUAGCAAGAGAAAAAAAGUUCUGAAUUUUAACAAAUUAAAGUGAUGGUAAUUAUAUAGAUUUUUUUUUCAUCUUACUGGAUUUUUUACAAUGUUGUAGCACUGCCAGAAAGGGUGGAUCCCACAUUUGGGUAAAAUAAGUUCGGGCCCUACAAAGGAGGAACACGAGUAUGUGUGUGUGUGUGUGUGUGUGUGUGUGUGUGUGUGUGCGCGCGCGUAACUUCUCAGGAACAAAGUGAAGACGCGACCCGGCAGCGUCAUUUGUUGAGGUCAUGAACGCGUCCAGGAAGCCGCUGUUUAACGGCGUGUUUAAUGAUCAGUAACCUGACGGCUGAAGGAACACUGAGAACUAAUACCGUAUUUUCGCGACUAUACGGCGCACUGAAUUACAAGGCGCACCUUCAAUAAAUCGCCAAUUUUAGAACUAUUUUCAUAUAUAGAGCGCACCGGAUCACAAGGCGCAUAGAAGUAACUGCAGUAAAACGUUUGACUGGGGCUGCGUUAUGCAUCCACUAGAUCGGGCUGUGCUAAAUCAAACGUUAUUAAGCGUUCUGACAACUCUUCACUCCCAUGGUAACGUUGUUCAAACGUUAAUGUGGAUAUUAACAAUAUCUCUGAACCUCCAACUUUCGUUAUUGGUUAAUGAAAACAUUCUUGGCAAAUGCUUUAGUGCAUCUUGCACCGAGAGGCAGCGCUGGAACAGACGGUGGACCGUCAGCGCGAUCCCGACAUCCAACUACGAGCUUUAAUGUACUGUAGCGACUCUGGACAAUGUGCUUAUCUUCUGGUUUUAUUGUGGAGAAACAGGCUACUGUCGGCCGUAGCCUACGCCGAACAAAAACGCAGCAUCGCUCUCCAAAACAACAACAAUUCCCGCGUCCCCAUAGGUGGCACUAAGAUGAGUGACGUCACAUUGUGCGCCCUUCACUGACCAUCCCUAAACUCUGUAAAGUGCAACGCCGCUCCAGCACAUGAAAACACAGUCCGUUACAAUACGCUGUUGGAGCUGGAAUUACCGCGGCUGCUGGCACCAGACUUUCCCUCCAAUGGAGCCUCGUUAACCAGUAUGGAUCAACCAAUUGAGCCAUAUAUACGGCGCUCCGGAUUACAAGGCGCACGCGCCGUUUUUUUAGAAAAAAAAGGAUUUUAAGUGCGCCUUAUAGUCGCGAAAAUACGGUAACUUAACAGAAGAGCUCUUGGAACACAUGUUCCCACAUAUGCUUCUAUAUAUACAAUAUAUACAAUAAAUAUACAAACAAAUGAUUGAGACGCUAGUUGUGUCGUAUUAACAGUAUUAAUGUGAUUAAAUACAUUCCAGCUGUUCGAUGGGCAGCAUCUGGUGGCUGUUAGAGGAACUGCAGUGUAAGUCACUUCAUAAAGUGUGUCACUGCAAAACCAAAAUAUCUAUGUUGCACUCCGGCUGUAUGAUUUCUACUGAGAACCCCCC
This is a long non-coding RNA of Pungitius pungitius (ninespine stickleback), 2991 nucleotides long. RefSeq lists it as uncharacterized. The transcript has 3 exons. The record is from RefSeq and is a predicted model, not a curated record. NCBI's taxonomy places the organism in Eukaryota, Metazoa, Chordata, Actinopteri, Perciformes, Gasterosteidae.